RNAcentral lists this long non-coding RNA (2534 nucleotides) under Oryza brachyantha (malo sina). RNAcentral's name for it is "long non-coding RNA (OBRA_LNC000449)". Lineage: Eukaryota; Viridiplantae; Streptophyta; Magnoliopsida; Poales; Poaceae. The record is from RNAcentral.
GGGGGGUGACGCAGGUGAGGGGCUCUAAGGCAUUUCUCGUUUGUGGAAUCAUACCUACGGCCUUUAGGAUUCAGAAAUGCGGGUCUUUUUGGGGGCGAAUUGGGGUUAUGCUGAUAUUGGAGAGUAGGAUGUGUAGGGCACCGAAUGCAGUUAAAUAUUGUCGUGGGGAGACGUUGCAUUGUGCAAUGGCCAAGCUCUGGAUGGUAUAGUGACCGUGAUUGCUCGUUUUUUUUUUCGUUUCGUUGAUGAUCAGGAGGUUACUGGAUUUAUCGCCCCAACCCCAUUACAACUUUCUAGUCAUGAUCAACAAGCUUCUGAAUCCAUAAACUUUAGGCCUACUUGUGUGCCUUCAAUUACUUUCUUGCAAUUUAGUUAUUUUUCAAUGUUUCUGUACUAAAUAAUAGUAGAGUAAAUUUCAUAAAACCACAAAGAUUAAGCAUUUUCAUUUUGCUACUGUACCAAGUUAAAUUGGUUAAGGGUGUGGUUUUGUGAGAUUUAUUCUAAAUAGUAUAAUUACCAUGUGAGUCUAAUAUAUCAAAAUAGAGAAUGCAUCAUUGAUACAUUUUUAUUCUGGAACUUAUUGUAUAUUUAAAUUGUUGCCCACCUCAACUUCGGGCCCUGUUUUUGUUGUUAAAUACUAUAGGCUUAUCGAUUGUGACAAAAAUCUGAAAAGAUAACUGAAUACAUAGAAAAGUUGAUGAUUUUGCAACCAACUGGCUGGGAAACUUUUUGUAAUUGUGUACAAGCUAGAGCAUAUGUAUACUGCUUGAUUAGUCAAAUGAAGGAAGGUACAAACUGUGGCACCUAGGAAUGAUUGUUAACAGUGUGUGGAUUCCAAACUACCACACUUCAGUUUUGUUUCAACCCAUUAGAGUUAAUUACCCUACUUUCUGCUUUCUGACACCGGAUAAUUUAAUAGCAUUCAGUGUUCCCCUUUGUGGAUGCCAAGGUCACAGAGCAGAUUUUUCCUGCUAUGGUCUGUUGUAGUGCCAAGAGUAAGAUUGAUAUUGUGUUUGAGGAACAACUGCAUAAAUUUUGAUUCCUUUUUGUGUGUUUGUAUGUGCAAUGUGCAUGCACAAAGCCUAGUUAACUGACAUAACAUGUAGUUCGUAGAGUUUUUCCCUCAGACCAAGCUUGCCACCUGUUAAUAAACCAAAUGUACCAGUUGCAUUCUCGUGAGUUCAUCCAUGCAAUCAAGGAUGGUAAAGAGCAUCAUGUCUUAUAGAAAUGUUCAAGUAUGCAGCAGUCCUGCUUUCCCUUACUGCUGAUAAGAGCCAUUCUGUUGGAUAUGCAUUUACUAUGAUGUGCAGAAUACGCGAUGAUACCCAAAAUAGUUAUUCCACAGAGUGUAUGCACAUUAGACAUGAUUCAUUAAUGCUUUUGAUAGAGGGAAAUAUUUAGAUUAGAAGUUGUGAUUUUGUUGGUCAAGAUUAUCAUGAAGUAAUAUAACAGGCUUAUAUAGAAUAUUACUACCGCUCUAUUGGCAGAGCAUAUUAUCUUGUGUUUGAAACUUCAGAGAAGUAUCUUUUGAAAUUACUAACGGGGUAUGUGGCUAUUCGCUGUAUUCCUGAAUAGUUGACAUUCAAGAAUUCACACAUGAAAAAAUGACAUCUUUACAGAAGAUCAAACUGCUGUUCCAUUCCCUACUCUCUAGGAUAACCAGUUCCCUGUUUAGCUAUUUGACUAAUAUGCACAUCGAACACUAGUGGAUCAAGAGCUGGUUAUGCCUGAGCACUUGUGAUAUACUUGUGAGUUGUCUAAUUUGUCAGGAGGGUAAAUUUUAAAUAUACGUGGCAUUAUGCAGUGAGGAGUAUAUACUAUGAAGGGAGGAGUAUAUACUAUAUAAGUAAAUGCUAGUGAAUGAGGAAGGAUGAAAACUUGUCUGUAAAAGUUAAUGAAAUGCAUUUAGGAACAUAUUUUGAAAGUUUUCGCUUAUAUUCUAGAACAGAGGGUGUAUCAUCUAUGUUUUCCAUCAGUUUCUGCCAUUUGGAUUUCCAAUAAAUGAUUUGUAAUAUCUUAAUCAUAAGAAGUCGCAUCAUACCUUUUAUACUCUGUGUGUAGUUGGCGAUGCUUUUGUUAUAGAAAGCACAACAAAUGUGAAAUUUCCUCGAGAGAUAGCUGUUCCAGGCUGCACAGAACCUUUAAUCAUUCUUGGAACAGGUACAUUUUCUUGUCCUAUUCCCUAUGAGAUUAAAUCAGCAUUAUUAUGCUUUACUUCGCAUGCAUAGAAAUACCUCCUAAGUUUGGUUCUGUAACAAAUAUUGUCAAUCAAUUUCUUUGGCUGACUGACACAACAUGAAGGACCAUUUGAAUUUUUUUCAUCAGUCAUUACAUAUUGCUUCUGUAGUUAACUAUAAUGGACAUUUUGUUGGGAAACUGUCCAAAAUAUCUGCUAGAGUUCAUUGAAUAUGUGUUAUCUCAAAUAACCAUUUGUCUGUUAACAACUGAGCUGAUUGUCUCUUGUUCUAGGAAUAAUUUGUUGGUGUAUGGCCUGUGAGGCCUAGUAGAGCCCAUUAGAGGCCCAUGUAUCAGUG